AGAUUGCGUCAGUAGCGGCGAGCGAAAGCGCAAGAGGGCAAACCCAGUGCUUGCACUGGGGGUUGUAGGACUGCAAUGUGCAAGAGCUGAGUUUAGCAGAACAUUCUGGAAAGUAUAACCAUAGAGGGUGAUAGUCCCGUAUGCGAAAAACAAACCUUAGCUAGCAGUAUCCUGAGUAGGGCGGGACACGAGGAAUCCUGUCUGAAUCCGGGUCGACCACGAUCCAACCCUAAAUACUAAUACCAGAUCGAUAGUGCACAAGUACCGUGAGGGAAAGGUGAAAAGAACUGAGGUGAUCAGAGUGAAAUAGAACCUGAAACCAUUUGCUUACAAUCAUUCAGAGCCCUAUGUAGCAAUACAGGGUGAUGGACUGCCUUUUGCAUAAUGAGCCUGCGAGUUGUGGUGUCUGGCAAGGUUAAGCAAACGCGAAGCCGUAGCGAAAGCGAGUCUGAAUAGGGCGCUUAGUCAGAUGCUGCAGACCCGAAACGAAGUGAUCUAUCCAUGAGCAAGUUGAAGCUAGUGUAAGAACUAGUGGAGGACUGAACCCAUAGGCGUUGAAAAGCCCCGGGAUGACUUGUGGAUAGGGGUGAAAGGCCAAUCAAACUUCGUGAUAGCUGGUUCUCUCCGAAAUAUAUUUAGGUAUAGCGUUGUGUCGUAAUAUAAGGGGGUAGAGCACUGAAUGGGCUAGGGCAUACACCAAUGUACCAAACCCUAUCAAACUCCGAAUACCUUAUAUGUAAUCACAGCAGUCAGGCGGCGAGUGAUAAAAUCCGUCGUCAAGAGGGAAACAACCCAGACUACCAGCUAAGGUCCCUAAAUCUUACUUAAGUGGAAAACGAUGUGAAGUUACUUAAACAACCAGGAGGUUGGCUUAGAAGCAGCCAUCCUUUAAAGAAAGCGUAAUAGCUCACUGGUCUAGUGAUUUUGCGCGGAAAAUAUAACGGGGCUAAAGU
RNAcentral lists this ribosomal RNA (953 nucleotides) under Campylobacter jejuni. RNAcentral describes it as "partial 23S ribosomal RNA". It matches the Rfam family "Bacterial large subunit ribosomal RNA", at positions 232 to 1188 of the family's 2925-position model. The record is from RNAcentral. Lineage: Bacteria; Pseudomonadati; Campylobacterota; Epsilonproteobacteria; Campylobacterales; Campylobacteraceae.